UGCCGGAUGGCUCAAUUGGAAAAGCAUCGCACUGCGAAGCAGAAGUGACCAACACGGCGCGGGUUCGAUCCCCGCCUCGUAC
Non-coding RNA from Gymnothorax javanicus (giant moray), 82 nucleotides. NCBI's taxonomy places the organism in Eukaryota, Metazoa, Chordata, Actinopteri, Anguilliformes, Muraenidae. The record is from the annotation of a GenBank genome assembly.